GACGAACGCUGGCGGCGUGCCUAAUACAUGCAAGUCGAGCGGACGGAUGGGAGCUUGCUCCCAGACCGUCAGCGGCGGACGGGUGAGUAACACGUGGGCAACCUGCCUGUAAGACUGGGAUAACUCCGGGAAACCGGGGCUAAUACCGGAUAACUCUUUCCCUCACAUGAGGGAAAGCUGAAAGAUGGCAUCUCGCUAUCACUUACAGAUGGGCCCGCGGCGCAUUAGCUAGUUGGUGAGGUAACGGCUCACCAAGGCGACGAUGCGUAGCCGACCUGAGAGGGUGAUCGGCCAGACUGGGACUGAGACACGGCCCAGACUCCUACGGGAGGCAGCAGUAGGGAAUCUUCCGCAAUGGACGAAAGUCUGACGGAGCAACGCCGCGUGAGUGAUGAAGGUUUUCGGAUCGUAAAACUCUGUUGUCAGGGAAGAACAAGUACCGGAGUAACUGCCGGUACCUUGACGGUACCUGGCCAGAAAGCCACGGCUAACUACGUG
RNAcentral lists this ribosomal RNA (498 nucleotides) under uncultured bacterium. Its description in RNAcentral is "partial 16S ribosomal RNA". It matches the Rfam family "Bacterial small subunit ribosomal RNA", at positions 28 to 507 of the family's 1533-position model. The record is from RNAcentral.